This 705-nucleotide long non-coding RNA is filed under the name Erythranthe guttata (spotted monkey flower). Its description in RNAcentral is "long non-coding RNA (EGUT_LNC002275)". Lineage: Eukaryota; Viridiplantae; Streptophyta; Magnoliopsida; Lamiales; Phrymaceae. The record is from RNAcentral.
CACUAUGUAUAAACAACUAUAUAAACAUGAAAACCACUAUUUAUAAACAACUAUAUAAACAUGAAAACUACUCAGUAUACACAACUAUAUAAAUAUCGAAAACCACUGCCACUGCUCCAGUAAGAAUACGAUUUGAACUUACCUAAAAACAAACCCACAAAAAAAGAAAAAAAUGAAAAUAGAAAUUAGAGAUUAUAUAGGGUGUUUUGUGCUAAUAACUCUCAUUUUCUUCGAUCACCAAUUUCUACAGAUGAAUCCACCAUUAAAGAACAACAAGUUCACAUCAAAGCAUCCGAUUUUCCAAAUGGGUUUCUCUUUGGAGCUUCCACUUCUGCUUAUCAAGUCUGUAUUUCUCUCUCUCUCUCUCUCUCUUCAUCUUAUAAUUAUAGAUCGAAGGAUGCGGCGGGUGGUGGGGGGCUACAGUGAUAGCAAAAUAAAGUGGCAGGAGUGUGGUGAUGGGUGGUUGUUGGAUUUGCUAGAGAAGAUGAUGGUUGGAUUGGGUGGGGGGAAGGAGAGUGGGUGUUGAAGAGAGAUAAUGUGAUAAAUAAUGGUUAGAAGUCUGUAGAAGUUUAGGGUUAAACACAAGGGUAUAAUAAUAGUGAUACAUAAUUAAUUUUUGUUAGUUAAAAAUGUUUUGAAUUUAUCUUAAAAUAAUAAAAAAAGAUUGGACUCAUUGUAACUACACAUGUGUAACUACUACUAGGG